UCAAACCCAAGAGAGAAUAUCAGAAGAUUCAAGGAAUCAAGAGGAUUGGGUAAGGAAAUGCUCAAGGUCUUACUCAAAGAAAUUAAAUUUGAUACCAAGUUUGAUAAUAAUUUGUAUGAGCAAUCCAUUACUGAGUUUGAGGACAAAAAAAUCUCAAAAAAUGCAAAAACCAUAGAGAAUCAUCAUGUAAGAUCUUUAAAAGACUGGAAAGUAAAUGAAAUAUUCCUGUUCAUUAAAAGCCAAUUGUGUACAAAAAGUGAGAAAAUGUACACUGAUGCUAAAGCUGGACAAACUUUGGCGUGUUUCUCGCACGAGUUGCUCAUUAGGUUUGCUCCCCUAGCUAGAUACAUUGAGCAUAAAUUGUCUGAAGCAUUGCCUAAAAGGUACUACAUUCAUCAAAAAAAAAAUUUUGAUGAACUGAAUAAAUGGGUCAUAGAGAGGGAUUUUUCUUCAAUUUGCACAGAGUCUGAUUAUGAAGCUUUUGAUUCCAGCCAAGAUGCAGUUUCCUUAGCCUUUGAAGUAGCCCUUAUGAAUCAUUUGAAUAUUCCAGUGGAUUUAAUUGAGGAAUACAUCCAGCUCAAAACACAUUUGGAUAGUAAAUUAGGAACUUUGGCCAUAAUGAGAUUCACUGGUGAAUUUGCAACCUUUUUGUUUAAUACCUUAAUGAACAUGGUUUUCACGUUUAUGAGGUACAAGAUAAAUGACAGCAUAUCCAUAUGCUUCGCUGGUGAUGAUAUGUGCGCAAACUCUAGACUCAAAGAAAGGAAUGACUACGAGGAUGUGCUCAAGAAUUUGAGUCUGAAGGCUAAAGUUGGAUAUACUUCAUGUCCAAGUUUUUGCGGGUGGUUGAUGACAAAAUAUGGUAUUUUAAAAGACCCAAAACUAAUUGAAUCAAGACUACGUGUUGCAGACGAGAAGGGCACAUUAGACUUAGUUCUUGAUUCAUACUUUCUUGAGUACAAAUACAGUUUUGAAUUGGGUGACCAUCUCAUGGAAAUUCUAUCUGAUGAGCAACUGGGGUAUCAUUACACACUAACUAGAUUUUUUGUGCAGCAUAAAAACAAACUCAAAGGAACUGCCAAGGAAAUUUUAAUGACCUCAGCUGAUGAAGGGAAAAUA
Molecule: unclassified non-coding RNA, 1119 nt
Filed under: Hevea brasiliensis (rubber tree)
Lineage: Eukaryota; Viridiplantae; Streptophyta; Magnoliopsida; Malpighiales; Euphorbiaceae
Source: RNAcentral